UGGGGAAUAUUGCACAAUGGGCGCAAGCCUGAUGCAGCCAUGCCGCGUGUGUGAAGAAGGCCUUCGGGUUGUAAAGCACUUUCAGCGGGGAGGAAGGCGAUAAGGUUAAUAACCUUGUCGAUUGACGUUACCCGCAGAAGAAGCACCGGCUAACUCCGUGCCAGCAGCCGCGGUAAUACGGAGGGUGCAAGCGUUAAUCGGAAUUACUGGGCGUAAAGCGCACGCAGGCGGUCUGUCAAGUCGAAUGUGAAAUCCCCGGGCUCAACCUGGGAGUUGCAUUCGAACCUGCCAGGCUAGAGUCUGUUGGAGGGGGGUAGAAUUCCAGGUGUAGCGGUGAAAUGCGUAGAGAUCUGGAGGAAUACCGGUGGCGAAGGCGGCCCCCUGGACAAAGACUGACGCUCAGGUGCGAAAGCGUGGGGAGCAAACAGG
Molecule: ribosomal RNA, 429 nt
Filed under: Chloroflexota bacterium
Lineage: Bacteria; Bacillati; Chloroflexota
Description: Chloroflexi bacterium partial 16S ribosomal RNA
Rfam family: Bacterial small subunit ribosomal RNA
Source: RNAcentral